CAAGGAAUAGUUUAACUAGAAUGUCAGCUUUGGGUGUUGACGGUGGAGUAUUGUUCUUCUUCCUUGA
Molecule: non-coding RNA, 67 nt
Organism: Tupaia belangeri (northern tree shrew)
Lineage: Eukaryota; Metazoa; Chordata; Mammalia; Scandentia; Tupaiidae
Source: Ensembl